AGAGUUUGAUCAUGGCUCAGACUGAACGCUGGCGGCAGGCCUAACACAUGCAAGUCGGACGGUAGCACAGAAGAGCUUGCUCUUCGGGUGACGAGUGGCGGACGGGUGAGUAAUGUCUGGGAAACUGCCUGAUGAGGGGGAUAACUACUGGAAACGGUAGCUAAUACCGCAUAACCUCGCAAGAGCAAAGUGGGGGACCUUCGGGCCUCACGCCAUCGGAUGUGCCCAGAUGGGAUUAGCUAGUAGGUGGGGUAACGGCUCACCUAGGCGACGAUCCCUAGCUGGUCUGAGAGGAUGACCAGCCACACUGGAACUGAGACACGGUCCAGACUCCUACGGGAGGCAGCAGUGGGGAAUAUUGCACAAUGGGCGCAAGCCUGAUGCAGCCAUGCCGCGUGUAUGAAGAAGGCCUUCUGGUUGUAAAGUACUUUCAUCGGGGAGGAAGGCGGUGAGGUUAAUAACCUUACCGAUUGACGUUACCCGCAGAACAAGCACCGGCUAACUCCGUGCCAUUAUCUGCGUUAAUACG
RNAcentral lists this ribosomal RNA (529 nucleotides) under uncultured Enterobacter sp. RNAcentral describes it as "bacterial SSU rRNA". It matches the Rfam family "Bacterial small subunit ribosomal RNA", at positions 8 to 527 of the family's 1533-position model. The record is from RNAcentral. Lineage: Bacteria; Pseudomonadati; Pseudomonadota; Gammaproteobacteria; Enterobacterales; Enterobacteriaceae.